Molecule: ribosomal RNA, 789 nt
Filed under: uncultured bacterium
Lineage: Bacteria
Description: bacterial SSU rRNA
Rfam family: Bacterial small subunit ribosomal RNA
Source: RNAcentral
AGAGUUUGAUCCUGGCUCAGAAUGAACGCUGGCGGCGUGCCUAACACAUGCAAGUCGAGCGCGAACGCUCCUUCGGGAGUUAGUAAAGCGGCGGACGGGUGAGUAUCGCGUGAGAAUCUGCCCUUCAGUGAGGAAUACCCUCGAGAAAUCGAGGUUAAUACUGCAUACGUCCCUUCGGGGAGAAAGGCCGCUUUAUGCGGUCGCUGAUGGAUGAGCUUGCGUACUAUUAGUUAGUUGGUAGGGUAAAGGCCUACCAAGACUAUGAUGGUUAACCGGCCUGAGAGGGUGUACGGUCACAUUGGAACUGAGACACGGUCCAGACUCCUACGGGAGGCAGCAGUGAGGAAUAUUGCACAAUGGGCGAAAGCCUGAUGCAGCGACGCCGCGUGGAGGAUGAAGGUUUUCGGAUUGUAAACUCCUGUUAAGUGGAAAGAAAACGUGCUUUCUAAUAAAGAGCAUGUCUGACGGUACCACUAGAGAAAGCACCGGCUAACUUCGUGCCAGCAGCCGCGGUAAUACGAGGGGUGCAAGCGUUAUUCGGAAUAACUGGGCGUAAAGGGUGUGUAGACGGUAUAUUAAGCUUGCUGUUAAACCCUCCGGCUCAACCGGAGAUCAGCAGUGAGAACUGAUAAACUAGAGUAUGGAAGAGAGAAGUGGAAUUCCCGGAGUAGCGGUAAAAUGCGUAGAUCUCGGGAGGAACACCGAUGGCGAAGGCAGCUUCUUGGUCCAUUACUGACGUUGAGACACGAAAGCGUGGGGAGCAAACAGGAUUAGAUACCCUAGUAGUCC